This 163-nucleotide ribosomal RNA is filed under the name uncultured rumen bacterium. RNAcentral's name for it is "partial 16S ribosomal RNA". It matches the Rfam family "Bacterial small subunit ribosomal RNA", at positions 340 to 500 of the family's 1533-position model. The record is from RNAcentral.
UACGGGAGGCAGCAGUAAGGGAUAUUGGUCAAUGGGGGGAACCCUGAACCAGCCAUGCCGCGUGAGGGAAUAAGGCCCUACGGGUCGUAAACCUCUUUUGCCGGGGGAUAAGGACGCCCACGUGUGGGUGUUUGAAGGUACCCGGAGAAUAAGCAUCGGCUAA